ACUCCUACGGGAGGCAGCAGUGGGGAAUCUUGGACAAUGGGGGCGAACCCUGAUCCAGCCAUGCCGCGUGAGUGAUGAAGGCCUUAGGGUCGUAAAGCUCUUUCGCCUGUGAAGAUAAUGACGGUAGCAGGUAAAGAAACCCCGGCUAACUCCGUGCCAGCAGCCGCGGUAAUACGGAGGGGGUUAGCGUUGUUCGGAAUUACUGGGGCGUUAAAGCGCACGUAGGCGGAUCGGAAAGUUGGGGGUGAAAUCCCGGGGGCUCAACCCCGGAACGGUCCUCCAAAACUAUCGGUCUAGAGUUCGAGAGAGGUGAGUGGAAUUCCGAGUGUAGAGGUGAAAUUCGUAGAUAUUCGGAGGAACACCAGUGGCGAAGGCGGCUCACUGGCUCGAUACUGACGCUGAGGUGCGAAAGUGUGGGGAGCAAACAGGAUUAGAUACCCUGGUAGGACAGUG
RNAcentral lists this ribosomal RNA (453 nucleotides) under uncultured bacterium. Its description in RNAcentral is "bacterial SSU rRNA". It matches the Rfam family "Bacterial small subunit ribosomal RNA", at positions 335 to 799 of the family's 1533-position model. The record is from RNAcentral.